UAUCUCUGUAGAGUCUGCAUAUCAAUAAGCGGAGGAAAAGAAACUAACUAGGAUUCCCUUAGUAACGGCGAGUGAAGCGGGAAGAGCUCAAAUUUGAAAUCUUCAAGGUUCUACCUUGACGAAUUGUAGUUUAAAGAAGUGUUUUCUGUUGGAGUUUUGGUAAAAGUUCUUUGGAAUAGGACAUCAUAGAGGGUGAGAAUCCCGUAUUUGACCAUUAUUUCCAACUUUGUGAUACACUUUCAAAGAGUCGGAUUGUUUGGGAAUGCAGUCCAAAAUGGGUGGUAAAUUUCAUCUAAAGCUAAAUACUGGCGAGAGACCGAUAGCGAACAAGUACCGUGAGGGAAAGAUGAAAAGAACUUUGAAAAGAGAGUUAAACAGUACGUGAAAUUGUCAAAAGGGAAGCGUUUGACACCAGUGUUGUUUUCUCGAAAAUCAAUUAAAAAUGGCGGGAUUUUGUGUUGUAUUGACUUUAUCAGCUUUCUGCACUUUUUUCCUGUCUUUUUUAAUGCACUUUUCGUUUAACAAGUCAACAUCAAUUUCUUUUGUUGUAAAAGGUCAUUGGAAGGUGGCUUUCCUUUCGGAUGAAAGUGUUUAUAGCCUUUGGCUUCUGCAAUCGGAGAGAUUGAGGUCUGCAGCGUAGAUCCUUCGGGGUUAGAUACAUUUGUGCUAAGUUAUAGCUUUUCAUAGACAACAUGUUGACUAUGAUUAAGUCAUGUAGCUUACUCGCUUAUGCUAUUUUACCUACGCUUAGGAUGUUGAGUAGCGACAUACGCA
Molecule: ribosomal RNA, 774 nt
Filed under: uncultured Neocallimastigales
Lineage: Eukaryota; Fungi; Neocallimastigomycota; Neocallimastigomycetes; Neocallimastigales
Description: partial large subunit ribosomal RNA
Rfam family: Eukaryotic large subunit ribosomal RNA
Source: RNAcentral